Long non-coding RNA from Pantherophis guttatus, 663 nucleotides. RefSeq lists it as uncharacterized. NCBI's taxonomy places the organism in Eukaryota, Metazoa, Chordata, Lepidosauria, Squamata, Colubridae. The record is from RefSeq and is a predicted model, not a curated record.
AAUAAUAAAGCUGGGAGAAAACUAAAUAAAUAAAAUCAAACCUUCCCAAGGUAAUUUGCCCUAGUAUUUUCUUGCAUUGCCAAUGAAGGCCUACUUUUUAAAGGAAAACUUCUGAGGAUCAGUGGGCUGGUGCCGCCACCUGUUGAAUCAAUGGACUGAUCAAAGGACCUAUGUCUUGGCUGAUGAAUAGAAAUGCCAGCUCAGAACACUGAGGGUCCCUUGAGAAGUUCAUGGCAGAGACCUACAGGAGGAGCAACAGCAGCAGCAGCUGUGCUUCAUUCUUCAGUGACACACAGAGUCCAACAGUACCUUGUGAUUGACAGCAUCGAAGAUUGCUAGUAUCUGUUUUGUUCUACCUUUCCUACUGGCAACAUCCCAGAUAUUCACCUCAUCUCAGAAUUGACAGAAUACAUAAAUCCACUUUUAAUUUCAUUAGGCAGUGAGCCAAACUGUGAUAAUUGAAAGUGGUUAAUCAGAGAAGAUAAACCUCACCCCAUCCAAGACAAUGAAACCAUUUAAUGUAUGAACUUUCUAUGAUUUCUGUUUUAUUGAAGAACACAUUCCUGGGUUGCAGGACUUUUACUGAGUUGGAGCUGAGGGAAUAGACAUAUAUUAAAUUGCAUAUAAAAAUAGGCUCCUUGAGAAAUAAAAAUAUCCCAUCAU